This 451-nucleotide ribosomal RNA is filed under the name uncultured bacterium. RNAcentral's name for it is "bacterial SSU rRNA". It matches the Rfam family "Bacterial small subunit ribosomal RNA", at positions 29 to 524 of the family's 1533-position model. The record is from RNAcentral.
AGCGAACGCUGGCGGCAGGCUUAACACAUGCAAGUCGAGCGGGCGUAGCAAUACGUCAGCGGCAGACGGGUGAGUAACACGUGGGAACGUACCUUUUGGUUCGGAACAACACAGGGAAACUUGUGCUAAUACCGAAUAAGCCCUUACGGGGAAAGAUUUAUCGCCGAAAGAUCGGCCCGCGUCUGAUUAGCUUGUUGGUGAGGUAACGGCUCACCAAGGCGACGAUCAGUAGCUGGUCNGAGAGGAUGAUCAGCCACACUGGGACUGAGACACGGCCCAGACUCCUACGGGAGGCAGCAGUGGGGAAUAUUGGACAAUGGGGGCAACCCUGAUCCAGCCAUGCCGCGUGAGUGAUGAAGGCCCUAGGGUUGUAAGCUCUUUUGUGCGGGAAGAUAAUGACGGUACCGCAAGAAUAAGCCCCGGCUAACUUCGUGCCAGCAGCCGCUGUAAU